RNAcentral lists this ribosomal RNA (950 nucleotides) under uncultured bacterium. RNAcentral describes it as "bacterial SSU rRNA". It matches the Rfam family "Bacterial small subunit ribosomal RNA", at positions 41 to 954 of the family's 1533-position model. The record is from RNAcentral.
GGGGGGGCAUAUCAUGCAAGUCGAGCGAGCUUGCCUAGAUGAUUUUAGUGCUUGCACUAAAUGAAACUAGAUACAAGCGAGCGGCGGACGGGUGAGUAACACGUGGGUAACCUGCCCAAGAGACUGGGAUAACACCUGGAAACAGAUGCUAAUACCGGAUAACAACACUAGACGCAUGUCUAGAGUUUGAAAGAUGGUUCUGCUAUCACUCUUGGAUGGACCUGCGGUGCAUUAGCUAGUUGGUAAGGUAACGGCUUACCAAGGCAAUGAUGCAUAGCCGAGUUGAGAGACUGAUCGGCCACAUUGGGACUGAGACACGGCCCAAACUCCUACGGGAGGCAGCAGUAGGGAAUCUUCCACAAUGGACGAAAGUCUGAUGGAGCAACGCCGCGUGAGUGAAGAAGGGUUUCGGCUCGUAAAGCUCUGUUGGUAGUGAAGAAUGAUAGAGGUAGUAACUGGCCUUUAUUUGACGGUAAUUACUUAGAAAGUCACGGCUAACUACGUGCCAGCAGCCGCGGUAAUACGUAGGUGGCAAGCGUUGUCCGGAUUUAUUGGGCGUAAAGCGAGUGCAGGCGGUUCAAUAAGUCUGAUGUGAAAGCCUUCGGCUCAACCGGAGAACUGCAUCAAAAACUGUUGAACUUGAGUGCAGAAGAAGAGAGUGGAACUCCAUGUGUAGCGGUGGGAUGCGUAGAUAUAUGGAAAAACACCAGUGGCGAAGGCGGCUCUCUGGUCUGCAACUGACGCUGAAGCUCCGAAGCAUGGGUAGCGAAAAAGAUUAGAUACCCUGGUAAUCCCUGCCGUAAAAAAUGAAUGUAAAUGGUUGGGAAGUUUCCGCUUUCCGUUGUGGCGCUAAGCAUUAACCACUCCGCCUGGGGAAUACAACAGCAAGGUUGAAACCCAAAGGAUUGAAGGGGGCCCGCAAAAACCGUGGAACAUGGGGGUUAAUUCAA